GUGAAUAACUAUCAAUAAUUAUUCACUACCAUGCUUGAAAAAUAGUAACUCAAGUUGAGUUAGGAAACUUGCCUUUCGCAUUGAUUACUGCUACACAAUAUAAUUAACUGCAUUCGUAAGACCUAUAAUCAAUAAUGUCGGUCUCACAAUUAGUAUAAUAUUUCAUAACACAAAUUACUGUAAUUUACAGUUAAUCUUCCUCCUAGGCACAUUACCAUAUAGCCA
Molecule: long non-coding RNA, 225 nt
Filed under: Panax ginseng (ginseng)
Lineage: Eukaryota; Viridiplantae; Streptophyta; Magnoliopsida; Apiales; Araliaceae
Description: long non-coding RNA (PGIN_LNC014042)
Source: RNAcentral